Molecule: long non-coding RNA, 200 nt
Filed under: Brassica napus (rape)
Lineage: Eukaryota; Viridiplantae; Streptophyta; Magnoliopsida; Brassicales; Brassicaceae
Description: long non-coding RNA (BNAP_LNC016256)
Source: RNAcentral
CCUUGGUUCGUGUAUUUAUUUACACCGAAAACACGCAAACACAUAGGAGAAAACGUUUUUUUUUAUAUAGUAAAAGAAUGUUCAAAAAGGUACCAAAAAGCUAGGAGAGAAAAACAAAUCAGUGGGCUAUUUUGGAUCCGAUGGAUCGUUAAGCAUGAGCAUUGUAAUGUAUCCGUGGUUGGUUAGCAUUUGGUCACAUG